This 372-nucleotide unclassified non-coding RNA is filed under the name uncultured fungus. Its description in RNAcentral is "partial contains small subunit ribosomal RNA, internal transcribed spacer 1, and 5.8S ribosomal RNA". The stretch from base 1 to 73 matches the Rfam family "Eukaryotic small subunit ribosomal RNA", at positions 1759 to 1831 of the family's 1831-position model. Lineage: Eukaryota; Fungi. The record is from RNAcentral.
GCAAACUUGGUCAUUUAGAGGAAGUAAAAGUCGUAACAAGGUUUCCGUAGGUGAACCUGCGGAAGGAUCAUUAGUGAACAAACCGGUGUGGUUGUUGCUGGCCUCCUCGGAGGCAUGUGCACGCCUGCCAUUGUUUCAUCCUUCUCUUCCACCUGUGCACUUCUGUAGGCCAGCCAGUCGAGCCCUUCGGGUUGACUAUCAACUCGGUGUGAGGUCGGUUCGCCACCGUCCUUGGACUGGCAGACAUGGUCCUACGUCUCUCAUCCACACCAAUGAAUGUGUAGAAUGUAUGUAACGGGCUCUAUUGCCCAUAAAACCUAUACAACUUUCAACAACGGAUCUCUUGGCUCUCGCAUCGAUGAAGAACGCAGC